AGAGAUUUCAUUUAUUUUUUCCUUUUGGAGAAUACAAGAAAAAGAAAUAGCUAAUAUUUUUAGAGAGAAGUCUUUAGACAAGAUCAAGAAGACCAUUCAUCCUAACGACUAUGGUCUCCGACGAGGCAUGUCAUCACGCCGACACCAUCAAGCGGAUGCCGUCAUCCAACACUAUUUUCCUACAACGUUUCUCCGUGAUAUUUUUCCGACAACGUCGACUGAAGUUAUCAUUCUAGAGAGCUAUUAUUAUGUGUCCUCAUCCUAUGCUCUAUAUCUUGUCGUCCGCCUACCUCAUCGUUCCAGUGUGAUAUCAAUCAUAAUCUCAACUUAAGCACUUGGAGUUAAAUCCAAAAAACAUAUGAUGAACUAUUUAUGGUUUGAUCUCUUUUAUAAAAUAUGUAGGCAACCUUAUCACAAGGUGCAGCUAUAAACACA
This 435-nucleotide long non-coding RNA is filed under the name Brassica rapa (field mustard). Its description in RNAcentral is "long non-coding RNA (BRAP_LNC007356)". The record is from RNAcentral. Lineage: Eukaryota; Viridiplantae; Streptophyta; Magnoliopsida; Brassicales; Brassicaceae.